UCUCCCGUGAGGGAGCAGUCUCGCCUGACACUUGUAACAGGCAACGAGGGUUGCGUUCGUUUCCCCACUGAAGGGAACAACUCAAGCCACGAACUGACGACGACCAUGCAUCACCUGUUCAGCUGCCCGAAGGCCCCAAUGGUUUCCCAAAGAGUUCAACUGAAUUUCUAACCCUGGUAAGGUUCUUCGCUUAUCGACGAAUUGAGCCACAUGAUCCACCGCUUGUGCGAGCCCCCGUCUAUUCCUUUGAGUUUUAGCCUUGCGGCCGUACUCCCCAGGCGGUCCCCUUAACGCGUUAGCUUCGCCUCUCAGAGGGUCGAUACUCCGAAAAGCCAGGGGACAUCGUUUAGGGCGUGGACUA
RNAcentral lists this unclassified non-coding RNA (361 nucleotides) under uncultured bacterium. Its description in RNAcentral is "contains 16S-23S intergenic spacer region". The record is from RNAcentral.